AGUGAACGCUGGCGGUAGGCCUAACACAUGCAAGUCGAACGGCAGCACAGUAAGAGCUUGCUCUUACGGGUGGCGAGUGGCGGACGGGUGAGGAAUACAUCGGAAUCUACUUUUUCGUGGGGGAUAACGUAGGGAAACUUACGCUAAUACCGCAUACGACCUACGGGUGAAAGCAGGGGAUCUUCGGACCUUGCGCGAUUGAAUGAGCCGAUGUCGGAUUAGCUAGUUGGCGGGGUAAAGGCCCACCAAGGCGACGAUCCGUAGCUGGUCUGAGAGGAUGAACAGCCACACUGGAACUAGAACACGGUCCAAACUCCUACGGGGGGCAGCAGUGGGGAAUUUUGGACAAGGGGCGCAACCCUGACCCAGCCAUACCGCGUGGGUAAAGAAGCCCUUCGGGUUUUAAAGCCCUUUUGUUGGGAAAAAAAAUCAGCAGGUUAAUACCCCGCUGUUCUGACGGUACCCAAAAAAUAAGCACCGGCUAACUGCGU
Molecule: ribosomal RNA, 491 nt
Filed under: uncultured bacterium
Lineage: Bacteria
Description: partial 16S ribosomal RNA
Rfam family: Bacterial small subunit ribosomal RNA
Source: RNAcentral